This 608-nucleotide ribosomal RNA is filed under the name uncultured fungus. RNAcentral describes it as "eukaryotic LSU rRNA". The stretch from base 246 to 399 matches the Rfam family "5.8S ribosomal RNA". The record is from RNAcentral. Lineage: Eukaryota; Fungi.
AGUAAAAGUCGUAACAAGGUCUCCGUAGGUGAACCUGCGGAGGGAUCAUUACACAAUAACAAGGCGGGCUGGACACCCCCCGCUGGGCACUGCUUCACGGCGUGCGCGGCGGGGCCGGCCCUGCUGAAUUAUUCACCCGUGUCUUUUGCGUACUUCUUGUUUCCUGGGUGGGCUCGCCCGCCCUCAGGACCAACCACAAACCUUUUGCAAUAGCAAUCAGCGUCAGUAACAACGUAAUUAAUUACAACUUUCAACAACGGAUCUCUUGGUUCUGGCAUCGAUGAAGAACGCAGCGAAAUGCGAUACGUAGUGUGAAUUGCAGAAUUCAGUGAAUCAUCGAAUCUUUGAACGCACAUUGCGCCCUUUGGUAUUCCAAAGGGCAUGCCUGUUCGAGCGUCAUUUGUACCCUCAAGCUUUGCUUGGUGUUGGGCGUCUUUUGUCUCCAGUUCGCUGGAGACUCGCCUUAAAGUCAUUGGCAGCCGGCCUACUGGUUUCGGAGCGCAGCACAAGUCGCGCUCUUUGCCAGCCAAGGUCAACGUCCAGCAAGCCUUUUUUUCAACCUUUGACCUCCGGAUCAAGUAAGGAUACCCACUGAAACUUAAACAUAA